CUACUCGGGUUUCUAAUCCUGUUUGCUACCCACGCUUUCGCGCCUCAGCGUCAGUGUCAGUCCAGAAGGCCGCCUUCGCCACUGGUAUUCCUCCCGAUCUCUACGCAUUUCACCGCUACACCGGGAAUUCCACCUUCCUCUCCUGCACUCUAGCCUGACAGUUCCGGAUGCCGUUCCCAGGUUGAGCCCGGGGCUUUCACAACCGGCUUAUCACGCCACCUACGCGCGCUUUACGCCUAGUAAUUCCGAUUAACGCUUGCACCCUCCGUAUUACCGCGGCGGCUGACAC
Molecule: ribosomal RNA, 289 nt
Filed under: uncultured Halomonas sp.
Lineage: Bacteria; Pseudomonadati; Pseudomonadota; Gammaproteobacteria; Oceanospirillales; Halomonadaceae
Description: partial 16S ribosomal RNA
Source: RNAcentral